UGUUCCCUACGGGAGGCAGCAGUGAGGAAUAUUGGUCAAUGGACGAGAGUCUGAACCAGCCAAGUAGCGUGAAGGAUGACUGCCCUAUGGGUUGUAAACUUCUUUUAUAUGGGAAUAAAAUGUUCCACGUGUGGGAUUUUGUAUGUACCAUAUGAAUAAGGAUCGGCUAACUCCGUGCCAGCAGCCGCGGUAAUACGGAGGAUCCGAGCGUUAUCCGGAUUUAUUGGUUUUAAUGGGAGCGUAGGUGGAUUGUUACGUCGGUUGAGAACGUUUGCGGCUCAACCG
Molecule: ribosomal RNA, 285 nt
Filed under: uncultured bacterium
Lineage: Bacteria
Description: partial 16S ribosomal RNA
Rfam family: Bacterial small subunit ribosomal RNA
Source: RNAcentral